GACGAACGCUGGCGGCGUGCUUAACACAUGCAAGUCGAACGGUGAAGCGCCUUCCUUUUUGGUGGGUGUGGAUGAGUGGCGAACGGGUGAGUAACACGUGAGUAACCUGCCCCCUUCUUCUGGAUAACCGCAUGAAAGUGUGGCUAAUACGGGAUAUUCUGGGUCUGUCGCAUGAUGGGUCUGGGAAAGAUAUUGUUUCGGUGGGGGAUGGGCUCGCGGCCUAUCAGCUUGUUGGUGGGGUGAUGGCCUACCAAGGCGGUGACGGGUAGCCGGCCUGAGAGGGUGGACGGUCACACUGGGACUGAGACACGGCCCAGACUCCUACGGGAGGCAGCAGUGGGGAAUAUUGCACAAUGGGCGCAAGCCUGAUGCAGCGACGCCGCGUGAGGGAUGGAGGCCUUCGGGUUGUGAACCUCUUUCGCCAGUGAAGCAGGACUGCCUCGUUUGUGGGUGGGUUGACGGUAGCUGGAGAAGAAGCGCCGGCUAACUACGUG
RNAcentral lists this ribosomal RNA (494 nucleotides) under uncultured bacterium. Its description in RNAcentral is "partial 16S ribosomal RNA". It matches the Rfam family "Bacterial small subunit ribosomal RNA", at positions 28 to 507 of the family's 1533-position model. The record is from RNAcentral.